This 54-nucleotide microRNA precursor is filed under the name Daubentonia madagascariensis (aye-aye). Its description in RNAcentral is "microRNA dma-mir-296 precursor". Its record names the gene dma-mir-296. The record is from miRBase by way of RNAcentral. Lineage: Eukaryota; Metazoa; Chordata; Mammalia; Primates; Daubentoniidae.
AGGGCCCCCCCUCAAUCCUGUUGUACUUGAUUCAGAGGGUUGGGUGGAGGCUCU